GACGAACGCUGGCGGCGUGCUUAACACAUGCAAGUCGAACGGAAAGGCCCUGCUUUUGUGGGGUGCUCGAGUGGCGAACGGGUGAGUAACACGUGUGUAACCUGCCCUUGCCUUUGGGAUAACUUCAGGAAACUGGGGCUAAUACCGGAUAGGAGCUCCUGCUGCAUGGUGGGGGUUGGAAAGUUUCGGCGGUUGGGGAUGGACUCGCGUCUUAUCAGCUUGUUGGUGGGGUAGUGGCUUACAAAGCUUUUGACGGGUUGCCGGCCUGAGAGGGUGACCGGCCACAUAGAGUCUGCAAUACGGCCCAGACGCCAACGGGAGGCAUGAGUGGGAAAUAUUGCACAAUGAGCGGAAGCAUGAUGAAGCAACGCCGCGUGCGGGAUAACGGCCUUCGGGGUGUAAGCCGCUUUCGCCUGAGACGAAGCGUGAGUGACGGUAAUAGGUAGAGAAGCACCGGCUAACUACGUG
RNAcentral lists this ribosomal RNA (468 nucleotides) under uncultured bacterium. RNAcentral's name for it is "partial 16S ribosomal RNA". It matches the Rfam family "Bacterial small subunit ribosomal RNA", at positions 28 to 507 of the family's 1533-position model. The record is from RNAcentral.